UUGCUUUGGCGGCACACAUACUAAAUCAGAACUACAUAGAGAAGAUUAGCAUGGACCCUGUGCAAAAAUGACAUAUAAAUUCAUGAAGCAGUCCACUUUUUG
This is a small nuclear RNA of Peromyscus eremicus (cactus mouse), 102 nucleotides long. The record is from RefSeq and is a predicted model, not a curated record. NCBI's taxonomy places the organism in Eukaryota, Metazoa, Chordata, Mammalia, Rodentia, Cricetidae.